UACAGAGGGUGCAAGCGUUGUCCGGAAUCAUUGGGCGUAAAGCGCGCGUAGGCGGCCCGGUAAGUCCGCUGUGAAAGUCAAAGGCUCAACCUUUGAAUGCCGGUGGAUACUGUCGGGCUAGAGUCCGGAAGAGGCGAGUGGAAUUCCUGGUGUAGCGGUGGAAUGCGCAGAUAUCAGGAGGAACACCAAUAGCGAAGGCAGCUCGCUGGGACGGUACUGACGCUAAGGCGCGAAAGCGUGGGGAGCGAACAGG
Molecule: ribosomal RNA, 253 nt
Filed under: uncultured bacterium
Lineage: Bacteria
Description: partial 16S ribosomal RNA
Rfam family: Bacterial small subunit ribosomal RNA
Source: RNAcentral